UUUUAAUAAAAACCUUCUCCCUUCUUUCAUUUAAACAAAAUCUCUAACCCCUUGGGCUGUGGCCUCUCUCUCUCUGUGGCCUCUCCCCUUGUGGCCCAUCUCUACCUUUGCUCCCAGCAGCCCACCUCUGCAGCUCCUCAGCCCACCUAGUCUUUUCUUUCCUCUGGCCCGUACCCCUUGGAACACCCUUCUUUUCCUUGGUCGUUUUCUUCCAGCCGAGCGAGCACAUGGAUGGCGUGAGGCUGUGGUCCUCACCACCGCACCACCACCUGCUCCCUCCUCCCUCUAUUAAUCCAUCCCCGAACCCUAGGGCUCUCCCCUUCCUUCCCCAUCCUCGCGCCGCCACCCCUCUCCCCUUCUCUUUUUCUCUGUGAAACCAAAGGAAGAGGAAACCCCAAGCUUCUGCCACCACCGUGCUCGCCAUGGCGCCGCCACUUCCGGCCGCCCCUCUUCGUUCUGAGAGCACCACGAGAACCGCCUCUUCUCCCUGAUCAUCCUCGUGCAAGGAAUCGAGCCUGGGCGCCUCGUGCCGUCGCCAAGGUCGCCGAUUCCCCGCGCAGACCGUCGCCUUUCUUCUCCAAUUCCGGCCGGCCUCGUCCUCCUCCGGCCAAACCGGGCACAUCUCCGGCUUCCCCAAGUCAAGGCGCACCUUCGACUUCCUCGUCCUCGUCCCGGAUCGCCUUGAACCGACAGAUACGUGCUCGGCUGCAAGUAUCCGCCAUGGUUUCCUCAAUCCCCGAGCUCCGCCGUGGUUGGCUCUAAUAGGGCGCGACUCUGGUCCUCUUCAACAUCUACACAGCAGCGCAGUGAUCUCGUGGCUGGAGAUCCUUCAACUGAAGCGGAGCACCUCAGAAUAUCAACAUAGGCAGUGUAGCCCAGCCGAUCGGCUGAUGGGCCUUGGCCCAGUUCUUCACGGCAUAGCCCGUCGCUCCGUGCACGUAGUAGCCCCAGAUCCACCCUCUCGCCCGGCGUGGCAGCAUUUGCUUCUUCCCGGAUAGGAUCACGAAGUGUUGAUGUGAGAUACGACGAGUUCUCCGGCAAGUUCUUCUGCAACCUUUC
Non-coding RNA from Lolium perenne, 1059 nucleotides. Lineage: Eukaryota; Viridiplantae; Streptophyta; Magnoliopsida; Poales; Poaceae. The record is from RefSeq and is a predicted model, not a curated record.